Gasterosteus aculeatus aculeatus (three-spined stickleback) is the source of this 287-nucleotide long non-coding RNA. Lineage: Eukaryota; Metazoa; Chordata; Actinopteri; Perciformes; Gasterosteidae. The record is from Ensembl.
CUUGCUAGCUAGCUAACGUUAGCUAACGUCGGACAGAGUGCAGACAGUGAGACGUUUCCUCUCCUCAUAACUUACUGCCAUCUUGUGGUUAACAGCCAAUCCUCUAUUUGGAGCAAUCAGCUCUACAACGGAGCCGACUGUGGAAGCCGUGAAUCGGAGGGCUUUCUGGUUGAGUGCAGCUUUCUGUGUUGUUGACGGCGCACAACAGCACACGGUGGAUUCUCUUUGUGAGAAUCUUUGGUGUGAAAAAGAAAGGUCUCGAGUAGAAAAUGGAUCUCAUCACAGUU